GACGAACCGUGCGAACGUUAUUCGGAAUCACUGGGCUUAAAGCGCGUGUAGGCGGGACGGCACGUCGGUCGCUGAAAUCCCCCGGCUCAACCGGGGAACGGGCGCCGAUACGACCGUCCUGGAGGGACGUAGGGGGACCUGGAACUUCCGGUGGAGCGGUGAAAUGCGUAGAUAUCGGAAGGAACACCGGUGGCGAAAGCGGCGCGCUGGACCCCUUCUGACGCUGAGGCGCGAAAGCCAGGGGAGCAAACGGG
RNAcentral lists this ribosomal RNA (254 nucleotides) under uncultured bacterium. RNAcentral describes it as "partial 16S ribosomal RNA". It matches the Rfam family "Bacterial small subunit ribosomal RNA", at positions 524 to 776 of the family's 1533-position model. The record is from RNAcentral.